CUCGUCGCGAACUCUGGAUGACCUUGGCCAAGUCGCUUCAGUUCCCCGAUCUGGCGACUUCGUCUGUAAAAUGUGACUAGCAUGCAGAUACCCAUGCUCUGACUUUCUGCCUCUCCACUGACAUGGCCCACCGGGGUGGGGAGAGGGACUUCCAGACUUCAGCUCGACGCAUGGGCACCUCGCUGCUCUUCCAGCUUUCAGUGCACGAACGGGAGCUGGACCUGGUUUUUCUGGAUCAUAGCUAUGCCAAGCCUUGGAGUGCCCACCCAGAUGCCAGUAGUGCCCGCCCCACCCGCAUGCUCUUUGUCACUCCCCGGCGGCAGCACGAAAGUACCAUUGAAUCAGACGUCCCAAUAGAUGUGGAGACGGUCACAUCAACGCCUGUGCCACUCUAUGACAAUCAGAAGGCACGCAGUGUGAUGAAUGAGUGUGAACGGCAUGUCAUCUUUGCCAGGACUGAUGCAGAUGCCCCUCCUCCACCAGAGGACUGGGAGGAGCAUGUCAACAGGCUUGUAAUGAGCCAGUGCUGCGCCGUGUUGCUGUGGACAAGUGUGCAAGGAGAGUGCGGCAGGCUCUGGCAAGUGUGAGCUGGGAUACCAAGCUGAUCCAGUGGCUGCACACCACCCUUGUGGAGACCUUGAGUCUGCCCAUGCUGGCAGCCUACCUGGAUGCUUUGCAGACGCUGAAGGGGAAGGUCAUUUUGACCUUUUGUGGGUAGCAUGGAAUUCGCAGAUAUUUCUUCUCAGUAUCCCAACCUUGAUUGACCGGAUGCUUGUAUCAUCCAACACGAAGACUGGGGCUGCAGGAGCUGAGGCCUUGUCUCUCCUACUGAAGAGGCCCUGGGACCCUGCUGUGGGUGUGCUUUCUCAUAACAAACCAAGCAAACUCCCUGGCUCUCCGCUGAUUCUCAUCGCCUCCUCUGGUCCCUCCAGCUCUGUGUUUCCCACUUCACGCCGCCACCGCUUCUGGCAAUCUCAGCUGUCCUGCUUAGGCAAGGUCAUCCCUGUAGCCACCCAUCUGCUGAACAAUGGCAGUGGGGUAGGAGUUCUACAGUGUCUCGAGCAUAUGAUUGGGGCAGUGAGAAGCAAAGUGCUGGAGAUUCACAGCCAUUUCCCACACAAACCCAUUAUCUUGAUUGGCUGGAACACAGGAGCUUUGGUGGCCUGUCAUGUGUCAGUAAUGGAGUAUGUCACUGCAGUUGUCUGCCUUGGGUUUCCUCUGCUUACCGUGGAUGGCCCCAGAGGGGAUGUGGAUGAUCCCCUCUUGGAUAUGAAGACUCCAGUCCUCUUUGUCAUUGGUCAGAAUUCCCUUCAAUGUCACCCUGAAGCCAUGGAGGACUUCCGGGAGAAGAUUCGAGCUGAGAACAGCUUGGUGGUGGUUGGGGGAGCUGAUGACAAUCUCAGAAUAAGCAAAGCAAAGAAGAAAUCAGAAGGGUUGACUCAGAGCAUGGUGGACAGAUGUAUUCAGGAUGAGAUUGUGGACUUUCUGACUGGAGUGCUCACUCGUGCUGAGGGUCACAUGGGCUCUGAACCUCGGGAUCAGGAUGCUGAGAAGAAGAAGAAGCCCCGCGAUGUGGCCCGCAGAGACUUGGCCUUUGAAGUCCCUGAGCGGGGCAGUCGACCUGCCUCCCCCGCUGCCAAGCUGCCCGCCUCACCCUCAGGCUCAGAGGAUCUCUCCAGUGUGUCCAGCAGCCCCACCUCCAGUCCCAAGACCAAAGUGACCACAGUGACCUCUGCCCAGAAGUCCAGUCAGAUUGGAAGCUCUCAGCUGCUGAAGAGACAUGUGCAGCGGACAGAAGCUGUGCUGACCCACAAACAAGCUCAAGUUCCCAUUUCAUCAGAACCACCAGAGGAAGGAGAGAAAGAGGAUCUUAGGGUUCAGCUGAAGCGACACCAUCCCUCAAGUCCCCUUCCUGGCAGUAAGACCACCAAGCGACCGAAGAUCAAGGUGUCCCUUAUCUCCCAAGGGGACACAGCUGGAGGGCCUUGUGCUCCUUCCCAAGGAAGUGCUCCAGAAGCUGCAGGUGGGAAGCCCAUCACCAUGACACUGGGGCAGGCUUCAGCAGGGGCCAAGGAGCUCACAGGACUUCUCACCACAGCCCAGUCCAGUUCUUCUGAAGGUGGAGUCUCAGCCAGCCCAGUCCCUUCAGUGGUCUCCAGCAGCACUGCACCCAGUGCCUUGCACACACUGCAGAGCCGCCUGGUGGCCACAUCUCCUGGAAGCUCCCUCCCAGGGGCCACAUCAGCCAGCAGCCUCCUCCAAGGCCUCAGCUUCAGCUUGCAGGAUAUCAGCAGCAAGACCUCUGGCCUUCCAGCAAAUCCCUCCCCAGGACCAGCCCCACAGGCUUGAAGGUCCCCACCACCAUUACUCUGACACUUCGUGGCCAGCCGAGCAGGAUCACCACGCUGAGCCCUAUGGGCUCAGGAGCAGCCCCAUCCGAGGAGUCCUCUUCCCAGGUGCUGCCCUCCAGCUCACAGCGCCUGCCUCCAGCACCCUGAAGAUGCGGUGUGAUAUGUCCUCCUUACCAAGUUGGUGAUGGCUGCCUCAUGGUGGGCCCUGGACACGUGCGUGGUCCUGCUGAGCUGUCCACGUGUCCGAAGACCUGUUUAAGACAGUCAUUUUUGCCUCUCCGCCAACUGUCUUCAGAGAAACCAUUAGGUUAGGUGAUACGGUGCCAGCAAGGGAAGCACCAUUGUCCAGGAUCUGCAAAUCUGGUUCCUGGGAUCCCCAGACUCCUCAGCAGAUCUGGCUGUACAUGGAUUAGAACCACUUCUUCCCCCGCUUAAGCUGUGGUUUGACCCAAGAGUCAUAGGACUGCCUGCUGCAUUUAAUGAAGGUGUUUCCUUUUGGAAGUCUGUGCUACCCUCUGUGCCUAGUUGGGAGGAGACAUCCGUCUGGUCCGGGGUUUCGGGAGUUAGAAUGGAAAGCCCUUUGCUAAAGACUGGAGUCAUCCUGGCCUGCCAACUGGUGGUUCAGAGCCGGAUGGGCUUGUUUUGGACAUCACUGUUGCCUUCACUCAGCAGCCAUGGGAGAGUGCUCCCCGUGCAACUCCACAUUAGAAACCACGUCAGAUACUGAGUAGCUUGCUGACUCCUGGAAACUUCUGGUUUUUGUUAGUAUCAUAAUGAAGGCAAAGAACUAGGCUGUCAUCUUUCAGCCUCUUUGACUUACUCUAGAUGUUGGGAGCAGUGGUUGCCAGGUGAAACCUGGGCCCUUUGUCUUUUUCACCAUGCUUUGGGCAGUUUCUGUAUCCAGAGAGUCCGCAGGUUCACAUAAGCUGAAGAAGACUAAUAGAACAGCAAAGGAAGUGGCUUGAAGGACGUGCCAGUAAGCCCUGUGGUUUGUGCUUAGGUCUCUGCUCUGCCACCCAAGGAACUAGUGAUUCAGCUGGAGACAAAAAGAAGAAUUUGCCAAAUCAGAGAAGAAACCCCAACCCCGGAAAAUCCUCUGUCUCCAGUCUCUAGAGGGGAAGCAGGGACAAUAAGCUAAGGUAGUAUCUUGGCCAUCCCAGGAAACUUGUGGCAUUAGGACGAUGAAGGCCAUGCUUCAGUGUUUUCGUUUCUAUUUCAUGAGACUUUUUGUCUUCCUGCUUACAAGUGGGAAGAUGAUUGACAGCGACUCUACUAUGCAGGGCUGUUGGUACCAACCUGAGCCCUAUAGGUGGUAGUCCCUGGAGAAGUGGUCACAGAAGAUGGAGCUCUGAUCUCCUGCUUACCUCUUCACAACACUUGUGUGCAAAGAUAGUUUUAGAUUUGGUUUAGAAACUAUCCUCCAGAACAGGCUCCCAUACUUAGAAUGUUUCUAGUUAAGGUAAUAAAUUAGGCAACCCAAGUGUGACUCCACUCAAGUGUCCUUUUCUGUAGGCAGGAAGGGCCCACAACAUGGCUUAAAAUAUAGUCCAUGGUUCUGGCCCACAGUACAGUGUGUAUCUAUACCAGGUCACCUGUGUUCAAUCUGGGAGCCUUCCUGGCCAGUCUGAGUGGCAGCCAGAAGGGAGCUCAUAGUGUCUAGGAGUCUCAGGCAAGGUAGGUCAGGGUACUGUGGGCAGGGGGGAUGUAUGUGAUAGGAGAGGGUACCCUAAACACCAUACCUCCCCUCCCUGACCUGAAAAGCUGAUCUCAACAGGGAUUCACACAGAAUUAGGCUGUGUUUUUGCAUUAGCUGGUAGGUGACUUUUUCAAAAUUCUUAAAUUCAGGAAGUAUUUAGUAAACUUGAGGAAGGUAUGAAAUCUGGAGGAGGCAUCCAGGACCCAGGGGUUUGAUAGCUUUACAGGUAGGAUCAUACCACACCAAAAGAGCAGUGGAUAAUAAGACUAUAUGAGCUAUAUGAAGCUUUUAGGAAUCAUUUAGGACCGACAGAGCCCUAAACAACCCAUUCAUGACUUAAGUUGUUGGCUCAGUGUAUGCUGGGGACAAAGAAAAACUAACAAGCCCACCUGCCUUUAUGGUAAAUUCUAGUGUGCUUACAAGGGAUGACUUCCUGUCCACCUUGAAGAACUCCGUAACUGAAGAAGGGGAGCUGUGAGAAUGUGGAUUGUUCUACACCUUGGACAGGGUAACAGAGGAAGUGGCUGAGGCCUAGAGUCAUGUUUUCCAGUUCCCUUCACAAACUGUAUUUCUUGGAACGCAAAAGGAAGCUUUACCUAUUUCAUAGAAGACCUGGAAUCCAUAACCUCAGAAGGCGAUAUUAUUGAUAGAAAAUGUGGAAGGAUCAGGAAGUUCUUAGAUUCUUGGAUGACAGAUGCAUGUUGAUGCCCUAUGGAGAUGUCCUUGUGUUUUGAGGUCACUGAGGUAGGAAGACCUGUCUACUCUUGGUCUCACCACUAGAACAGUCUUGGGCCGGAUGGGUCUAGAGCUGAGCGGCUGUGAUGGUUCUGUUCUUACAUUAACAAAAACAAUUAAAAACACCAAAAACAA
This 4917-nucleotide small RNA is filed under the name Pongo abelii (Sumatran orangutan). RNAcentral describes it as "processed transcript". Lineage: Eukaryota; Metazoa; Chordata; Mammalia; Primates; Hominidae. The record is from RNAcentral.